ACGCUCGACACCUACGGGAGGCAGCAGUUGGGAAUAUUGGACAAUGGAGGAAACUCUGAUCCAGUGACGCCGCGUGAAGGAAGAAGGUCUUCGGAUUGUAAACUUAUUUUGUCAGGGAAGAAAAAUGACUGUACCUGAAGAAAAAGCACCGGCUAACUACGUGCCAGUAGCCNGGUAGUAUGNGCGGCGNGNGAGAG
This 197-nucleotide ribosomal RNA is filed under the name uncultured bacterium. RNAcentral's name for it is "partial 16S ribosomal RNA". It matches the Rfam family "Bacterial small subunit ribosomal RNA", at positions 328 to 538 of the family's 1533-position model. The record is from RNAcentral.